RNAcentral lists this ribosomal RNA (492 nucleotides) under uncultured bacterium. Its description in RNAcentral is "partial 16S ribosomal RNA". It matches the Rfam family "Bacterial small subunit ribosomal RNA", at positions 29 to 507 of the family's 1533-position model. The record is from RNAcentral.
AGUGAACGCUGGCGGUAGGCCUAACACAUGCAAGUCGAACGGCAGCACAGUAAGAGCUUGCUCUUACGGGUGGCGAGUGGCGGACGGGUGAGGAAUACGUCGGAAUCUACUUUUUCGUGGGGGAUAACGUAGGGAAACUUACGCUAAUACCGCAUACGACCUACGGGUGAAAGCAGGGGAUCUUCGGACCUUGCGCGAUUGAAUGAGCCGAUGUCGGAUUAGCUAGUUGGCGGGGUAAAGGCCCACCAAGGCGACGAUCCGUAGCUGGUCUGAGAGGAUGAUCAGCCACACUGGAACUGAGACACGGUCCAGACUCCUACGGGAGGCAGCAGUGGGGAAUAUUGGACAAUGGGCGCAAGCCUGAUCCAGCCAUACCGCGUGGGUGAAGAAGGCCUUCGGGUUGUAAAGCCCUUUUGUUGGGAAAGAAAAGCAGCAGGUUAAUACCCCGCUGUUCUGACGGUACCCAAAGAAUAAGCACUGGCUAACUUCGUG